This 808-nucleotide long non-coding RNA is filed under the name Fukomys damarensis (Damara mole-rat). Its description in RNAcentral is "lncRNA (ENSFDAG00000027048.1)". Lineage: Eukaryota; Metazoa; Chordata; Mammalia; Rodentia; Bathyergidae. The record is from RNAcentral.
CUCUUAUUUUAUCUAAGUGGUGGUGGGUGAAAGGGGGUGGAAAGAUACUGUAUCCCACAUUAUAGGCUGGGUGGUAAGUCUUUUAGAAACUUCUUGAUUAUUUUGUGCUAAUUUUGAGCUGUGUUUACAUUCAGGUGGGCAACCAAGUGAGCCAGUAUCAUCUGGAUUGUAUAGAGAUAAAGAACAAGGACAGGGAGUUGUCUUCAAAUAUUUGAAGUACAAUUAUGAAGAACAGAUGAAGGUUAUCAAUGGCACUAAGAUUUGGUUUUAAUAUCCAAAGUUUUAUAAAACAACUACUUUGGACUAGGUACAAUGUCAGGUGCUGUGGGGGUGGGUACAAAAAUAAGAUGAUAUCUGCUCUUACGCUGAAAGUGGAUGAUGAGCUUUAAAGCAAGGCCAAUUGUGAGUUCAGAAGAGCAAAGUGUCAAAGUAGCUCAAAGAAAUGAGAAUUUUGGAUAAAUGGAGACUUGGCUGAUGGUGAGCAGGGUGAUGGAUGGACUGGGUACUACUUGUGCUGGAAAUGAGCCACUGACCAGAGGAAGAGAUGUGAUUUCAUCAGGAAUUUGGGGAUAUCACAACUGCUGUAAAGACCAGAAGAAGAAAAGUCAAGGAGACGUCUGCUGGUUUUCAGAUCUGAAGUGCAAGAUUCAUGGAAAGCCUUCUGCUGCCAGCAGCCACGAAUUGAUGAGCAAGAGGCCUCUAGGAAGCAGCUACAAAAGCCCAGCAGUUUGCCAUGGCCACCUACCUGCUUCAUUUACCACCUGGAGAAUAUAACAUCUUCCUAUCCACCUUUCCCAUUUCACCCGGG